CUUGAACUAUACCUGGAUCAUGGGACCUACAGAAGGCAUUCUCACUGAAAGACUUGAAGAUGUCCUGAGCUGUUGUGCAGAUUCAUGAGACAGUCCCCCAUCGAAGAGAAGAUACAUGAAAUCCAUCAUACAUCUACUUCUCUGAGAGAGGGAGAGGGAACAGCUCUGGGUAUUCUAUUAAGAUUCUAUGAAAUGGCAGCUCCAUUGUAUCAUCACUGUUAAUAAAGAGGCUUGGGUGAAACCUGUGUCCGUCCUGAGAAACCAUCCAAAUGCUGAAAACUCUUGAUGUA
Non-coding RNA from Pogona vitticeps (central bearded dragon), 290 nucleotides. The record is from RefSeq and is a predicted model, not a curated record. NCBI's taxonomy places the organism in Eukaryota, Metazoa, Chordata, Lepidosauria, Squamata, Agamidae.